RNAcentral lists this long non-coding RNA (660 nucleotides) under Nicotiana benthamiana. Its description in RNAcentral is "long non-coding RNA (NBEN_LNC009542)". The record is from RNAcentral. Lineage: Eukaryota; Viridiplantae; Streptophyta; Magnoliopsida; Solanales; Solanaceae.
GAAUGGAUACUUGAUGUGUAUUAUAUGUGUUGGAGACUAGAAGUUCUCGUGAUCCGACUAUGCAGUGGUUAUAGAUUGUGUGCAUCGACAUUGUCUAGCAGUUAUGGAAAUUGGUGGUCCGAGCGAAUCUUUUGUUGCUUGUUAUGUUAAAUUUGGGUUAUGAUAUUAGAUGGCAGACUGGUUGUUCCAAUGUAGAUUGUCUAGACUAAUGUGUUAUGGGCUAUGUUGGAAAAUGCCACAGGCUGCGUGGCAAGGUGCAUCUGAUUAUGUUCAAGCAGGGUAGCUGGUAUUCCGGAGUCCAGCGGACGGCUGGCAAGCAUUGCUUUAUUAAUUGGGCCUUCGUGGCGGAUGUCAGUGCAGAGGUAUCUACCAUUGAUUCAGUUCCGGUAUUUGGGGGACUUGUUCGGAUACGUUAUUGUGGCCGGGCAUGAGACUAUAAGUGUUUAUUGUAAUUAGCAAAUUUGGCUCGAUUUGCAUCUCCUAUGCGAGAUAUUUGUGUGGAUCGGUUGGCAAGCCGCCAUGGGUAUGUUAUCUGGGUCGGGUUACACGCCGCAACAGUGUGAUAUGGAGAAUAGUUUUCUAUAUGUUACUUUGUAUACCUUUCUUCCUAGUUUCUGAGGAAAAUCCGUAUUGGGGGUUGCUCAACGAAUAGUGCAUCAG